Molecule: ribosomal RNA, 481 nt
Filed under: uncultured bacterium
Lineage: Bacteria
Description: bacterial SSU rRNA
Rfam family: Bacterial small subunit ribosomal RNA
Source: RNAcentral
GAUGAACGCUGGCGGCGUGCAUAACACAUUCAAGUCGAACGGUGACGGGGCUUCGGCCCCUGAUCAGUGGCGGACGGGUGAGUAACGCGUGAGCAACCUGCCCUUAUGUUCGGGAUAACGACCGGAAACAGUCGCUAAUACCGAAUAACAUAUUCUGAUUGCAUGGUUGGGAUAUCAAAGAUUUAUUGCAUAAGGAUGGGCUCGCGUCCCAUUAGAUAGUAGGCGGGGUAACGGCCCACCUAGGCUACGAUGCAUAGGGGUUCUGAGAGGAAGGUCCCCCACACUGGUACUGAGACACGGACCAGACUCCUACGGGAGGCAGCAGUGAGGAAUAUUGGUCAAUGGUCGAGAGACUGAACCAGCCAAGUCGCGUGAAGGAAGACGGUUCUAUGGAUUGUAAACUUCUUUAGUCGGGGAGCAAAAAGAGUGACGAGUCACUAAUUGAGCGUACCCGAAGAAUAAGCAUCGGCUAAACUCCGUG